Molecule: ribosomal RNA, 796 nt
Filed under: uncultured archaeon
Lineage: Archaea
Description: bacterial SSU rRNA
Rfam family: Archaeal small subunit ribosomal RNA
Source: RNAcentral
UUCGCCCUUUUCCGGUUGAUCCUGCCGGACCCCACUGCUAUCGGGAUAGGACUAAGACAUGCAAGUCAAGCGCUUUCUAGCUAAUGUGAGAGCGCGGCGUACAGCUCAGUAACACGUGGCCAACCUGCCCUCGGGACGGGAACACCCCCGGGAAACUGGGGUUAAUUCCCGAUAGGUGAAGAAGUCUGGAAUGACUCUUCGCUCAAAAGACGUUUAUGUCAUGCUCAUAUUCGUCGCCCAGGGAUGGGGCCGCGACCGAUCAGGUUGUUGGUGAGGCAAUGGCUCACCAAGCCUUUUACCGGUGCGGGCCGUGAGAGCGGGAGCCCGGAGAUGGGCACUGAGACAAAGGCCCAGGCCCCACGGGGCGCAGCAGUCGCGAAAAUUUUGCAAUACACGAAAGUGUGACAGAGCUAUCCCGAGUGCCAUCCGCUGAGGAAGGCUUUUACCCAGUAUAAAUAGCUGGGAGAAUAAGGAGAGGGCAAGUCUGGUGUCAGCCGCCGCGGUAAUACCAGCUCUCCGAGUAGUGUGGACGUUUAUUGGGCCUAAAGCAUCCGUAGCUUGCUAGAUAAGUCCUCUGUUAAAUCCACCGAUUCAAUCGUUGGAUUGCGGGGGAUACUGUUUGGCUAGGGGACGGGAGAGGUCGACGGUAUUUCCGGGGUGGGGGUGAAAUCCUAUAAUCCCGGGAGGACACCAGUGGCGAAGGCUGUCGACUAGAACGCGCCCGACGGUGAGGGAUGAAAGCUGGGGGAGCGAAACGGAUUAGAUACCCGGGUAGUCCCAGCUGUAAACGAUGCAG